CCUACGGGAGGCAGCAGUGGGGAAUAUUGGGCAAUGGGCGCAAGCCUGACCCAGCAACGCCGCGUGAAGGAAGAAGGCUUUCGGGUUGUAAACUUCUUUUCUCAGGGACGAAGAAAGUGACGGUACCUGAGGAAUAAGUCACGGCUAACUACGUGCCAGCAGCCGCGGUAAUACGUAGGUGGCAAGCGUUAUCCGGAUUUAUUGGGUGUAAAGGGCGUGUAGGCGGGAGCGCAAGUCAGAUGUGAAAACGCAGGGCUCAACCCUGAUCCUGCAUUUGAUACUGUGUUUCUUGAGUACUGGAGAGGCAAUCGGAAUUCCGUGUGUAGCGGUGAAAUGCGUAGAGAUACGGAGGAACACCGGUGGCGAAGGCGGAUUGCUGGACAGUGACUGACGCUGAGGCGCGAAAGCGUGGGGAGCAAACAGGAUUAGAUACCCCGGUAGUC
Molecule: ribosomal RNA, 443 nt
Filed under: uncultured bacterium
Lineage: Bacteria
Description: partial 16S ribosomal RNA
Rfam family: Bacterial small subunit ribosomal RNA
Source: RNAcentral